This 497-nucleotide ribosomal RNA is filed under the name uncultured bacterium. Its description in RNAcentral is "partial 16S ribosomal RNA". It matches the Rfam family "Bacterial small subunit ribosomal RNA", at positions 28 to 507 of the family's 1533-position model. The record is from RNAcentral.
GAUGAACGCUGGCGGCGUGCCUAAUACAUGCAAGUCGAGCGAACAGACGAGGAGCUUGCUCCUCUGACGUUAGCGGCGGACGGGUGAGUAACACGUGGAUAACCUACCUAUAAGACUGGGAUAACUUCGGGAAACCGGAUCUAAUACCGGAUAAUAUAUUGAACCGCAUGGUUCAAUAGUGAAAGACGGUUUUGCUGUCACUUAUAGAUGGAUCCGCGCCGCAUUAGCUAGUUGGUAAGGUAACGGCUUAGCAAGGCGACGAUGCGUAGCCGACCUGAGAGGGUGAUAGGCCACACUGGAACUGAGACGCGGUCCAGACUCCUACGGGAGGCAGCAGUAGGGAAUCUUCCGCAAUGGGCGAAAGCCUGACGGAGCAACGCCGCGUGAGUGAUGAAGGUCUUCCGAUCGUAAAACUCUGUUAUUAGGGAAGAACAAAUGUGUAAGUAACUAUGCACGUCUUGACGGUACCUAAUCAGAAAGCCACGGCUAACUACGUG